Molecule: ribosomal RNA, 426 nt
Filed under: uncultured soil bacterium
Lineage: Bacteria
Description: bacterial SSU rRNA
Rfam family: Bacterial small subunit ribosomal RNA
Source: RNAcentral
AGAUUGAACGCUGGCGGCAUGCUUUACACAUGCAAGUCGAACGGCAGCACGGGGGCAACCCUGGUGGCGAGUGGCGAACGGGUGAGUAAUGCAUCGGAACGUAUCUUUAAGUGGGGGAUAACGCAUCGAAAGAUGCGCUAAUACCGCAUAAUCUCUGAGGAGAAAAGCAGGGGAUCGCAAGACCUUGCGUCUUUUUGGAGCGGCCGAUGUCUGAUUAGCUAGUUGGUGGGGUAAAGGCUUACCAAGGCUUCGAUCAGUAGCUGGUCUGAGAGGACGACCAGCCACACUGGGACUGAGACACCGGCCCAGACCUCCGUACGGGAGGCAGCGAGUGGGGUAAGUUUUUUGGAACAAGGUUAGGGGGGAAACCCUGAUCGACGCCAUCGCCGCGUCGAGUGAAAGGAAGGCCGUUCGGUUAGGUAAGUC